RNAcentral lists this unclassified non-coding RNA (163 nucleotides) under uncultured Herpotrichiellaceae. Its description in RNAcentral is "sequence contains ITS2". Lineage: Eukaryota; Fungi; Ascomycota; Eurotiomycetes; Chaetothyriales; Herpotrichiellaceae. The record is from RNAcentral.
UCAACCAUCAAGCCUGGCUUGUCGUUGGACCCCCUUUGCAGCUGAAAUAUGCGGCAGGUCCGAAAGAUAGUGACGGUGUCGUGUUUGACCCUAGAUGCAACGAGCUUUUUAUAGCACGCAUUGAAGUGGUCGGCCGGCCCGGUCUUUAACCAUUAUUUUCUAA